GACGAACGCUGGCGGCGUGCUUAACACAUGCAAGUCGAACGGAAAGGCCCUGCUUUUGUGGGGUGCUCGAGUGGCGAACGGGUGAGUAACACGUGAGUAACCUGCCCUUGACUUUGGGAUAACUUCAGGAAACUGGGGCUAAUACCGGAUAGGAUCUCCUGCUGCAUGGUGGGGGUUGGAAAGUUUCGGCGGUUGGGGAUGGACUCGCGGCUUAUCAGCUUGUUGGUGGGGUAGUGGCUUACCAAGGCUUUGACGGGUAGCCGGCCUGAGAGGGUGACCGGCCACAUUGGGCCUGAGAUACGGCCCAGACUCCUACGGGAGGCAGAAGUGGGGAAUAUUGCACAAUGGGAGGAAGCCUGAUGCAGCAACGCCGCGUGCGGGAUGACGGCCUUCGGGUUGUAAACCGCUUUCGCCUGUGACGAAGCGUGAGUGACGGUAAUGGGUAAAGAAGCACCGGCUAACUACGUG
This 468-nucleotide ribosomal RNA is filed under the name uncultured bacterium. RNAcentral's name for it is "partial 16S ribosomal RNA". It matches the Rfam family "Bacterial small subunit ribosomal RNA", at positions 28 to 507 of the family's 1533-position model. The record is from RNAcentral.